This 391-nucleotide ribosomal RNA is filed under the name Paromoionchis boholensis. RNAcentral's name for it is "partial 16S ribosomal RNA". It matches the Rfam family "Archaeal large subunit ribosomal RNA", at positions 1989 to 2658 of the family's 2987-position model. Lineage: Eukaryota; Metazoa; Mollusca; Gastropoda; Systellommatophora; Onchidiidae. The record is from RNAcentral.
GUGAAAAUUUAACGGCCGCAGUACCCUGACUGUGCUAAGGUAGCGUAAUCAGUUGGCUUUUAAAUGAAGUCGAGAAUGAAUGGGUCUACGGGAAUAAGCUGUCUCCUUUUGUACUCGUGAACUUAUUUAGAAGGUGAAAAUCCCUUUACGUAGAAAAAAGACGAGAAGACCCUUAGAGUUUUAAUAAAAAUCACAUGUUGUGAUAUUUUUUUUGCUGGGGCGGCAAGGAGCACAAUUAAACUCUCCUGCAUAGAUUUUGAAGACGAAAUUUAUAAGAAUCAUUAAACUACCUUAGGGAUAACAGCAUAAUUAAUUUUUAGUUUGUGACCUCGAUGUUGGACUAGGAAUAACUUUUGGUUAGAAGCCAAAAGUACCGUUCUGUUCGAACAAU